UUAUGGGUGGUUAAUGAGGUAAUUACAGCUGGUUAUGAGGUGAUUACGGGUGGUUAAUGAGGUAAUUAGAGCUGGUUAAUGAGGUGAUUACAGGUGGUUAGUUGAUAUGGGUGUUUAAUGAGGUGACUAUGGGUGUUUAAUUAGGUAACUGGGUAGUUAAUGAGGUGAUUAUGGGUGGUUAACAAGGUGACUAUGGGUGUUUAAUUAGAGAACUCUGGGUAGUUAAUGAGGUGAUUACGGGUGGUUAACGAGGUGACUCUGGGUGGUCAGUUAGUCGCUUAGGGGUGGUUAACGAGGUGACUAUGGGUGUUUAAUUAGGUAACUCUGGGUAGUUAAUGAGGUGAUUAUGGGUGGUUAACGAGGUGACUCUGGGUGGGGGUUAAUGAGGUGAUUAUGGGUGGUUAACGAGGAGACUCUGGGUGGUCAGUUAGUCGAUUAGGGGUGGUUAAUGAGGUGACUAUGGAUGUUUAAUUAGGUAACUGGGUAGUUAAUGAGGUGAUUAUGGGUGGUUAACGAGGUGACUCUGAGUGGUUCAUUAGUCAAUUAGGGGUGGUUACUCGAUUAUGGGUGGUUAAUGAGGUGACUAUGGGUGUUUAAUUAUGUAACUAUGGCUAGUUAAUGAGGUGAUUAUGGGUGGUUAAUGAGGUGACUCUGGGUGGUUCAUUAGUCAAUUAGGGGUGGUUAGUUGAUUACGGGUGGUUAAUGAGGUGACUCUGGGUAUUUAACGAGGUGACUCUGGGUGGUCAGUUAGUCGCUUAGGG
This is a long non-coding RNA of Chiroxiphia lanceolata (lance-tailed manakin), 761 nucleotides long. RefSeq lists it as uncharacterized. The record is from RefSeq and is a predicted model, not a curated record. NCBI's taxonomy places the organism in Eukaryota, Metazoa, Chordata, Aves, Passeriformes, Pipridae. The transcript is spliced from 3 exons.